UGGGGGAAUAUUGGGGCAAUGGGCGCAAGCCUGACCCAGCAACGCCGCGUGAGGGAAGAAGGUUUUCGGAUUGUAAACCUCUGUCGCAGGGGACGAAGGAAGUGACGGUACCCUGUAAGAAAGCCCCGGCUAACUACGUGCCAGCAGCCGCGGUAAUACGUAGGGGGCGAGCGUUGUCCGGAAUUACUGGGCGUAAAGGGAGCGUAGGCGGUCCUGCAAGUCUGAUGUGAAAGCCCGGGGCUCAACCCCGGGACUGCAUUGGAAACUGUGGGACUUGAGUGUCGGAGGGGCAAGUGGAAUUCCUAGUGUAGCGGUGAAAUGCGUAGAUAUUAGGAGGAACACCAGUGGCGAAGGCGGCUUGCUGGACGACAACUGACGCUGAGGCUCGAAAGCGUGGGGAGCAAACAGGAUUAGAUACCCUGGUAGU
This 427-nucleotide ribosomal RNA is filed under the name uncultured Lachnospiraceae bacterium. Its description in RNAcentral is "bacterial SSU rRNA". It matches the Rfam family "Bacterial small subunit ribosomal RNA", at positions 354 to 794 of the family's 1533-position model. Lineage: Bacteria; Bacillati; Bacillota; Clostridia; Lachnospirales; Lachnospiraceae. The record is from RNAcentral.